This 801-nucleotide ribosomal RNA is filed under the name uncultured bacterium. Its description in RNAcentral is "bacterial SSU rRNA". It matches the Rfam family "Bacterial small subunit ribosomal RNA", at positions 8 to 796 of the family's 1533-position model. The record is from RNAcentral.
AGAGUUUGAUCAUGGCUCAGAAUCAACGCUGGCGGCGUGCCUAACACAUGCAAGUCGAACGCGAAAAUCCCGCAAGGGAUCAGUAGAGUGGCAAACGGGUGAGUAACACGUGAGUAACCUGCCCCGAUGACCGGGACAACCCGAGGAAACUCGGGCUAAUACCGGAUGUGGCGCACAGGCGUAAGCCUGUUCGCUAAAGGAAGCUUCGGCCUCCGCAUUGGGAGGGGCUCGCGGCCCAUUAGCUUGUUGGUGGGGUUACGGCCUACCAAGGCGACGAUGGGUAGCUGGUCUGAGAGGACGAUCAGCCACACUGGGACUGAGACACGGCCCAGACUCCUACGGGAGGCAGCAGUGGGGAAUCUUGCGCAAUGCGCGAAAGCGUGACGCAGCAACGCCGCGUGGGGGAAGACGGCCUUCGGGUUGUAAACCCCUUUCAGGAGGGACGAAGGUUCGCCGGUGAAUAGCCGUGCGGAUUGACGGUACCUCCAGAAGAAGCUCCGGCUAACUACGUGCCAGCAGCCGCGGUAAUACGUAGGGGGCAAGCGUUGUCCGGAAUCAUUGGGCGUAAAGCGCGCGUAGGCGGCCCUGUAAGUCCGUUGUGAAAGUCAAAGGCUCAACCUUUGAAAGCCGAUGGAUACUGCAGGGCUAGAGUCCGGAAGAGGCGAGUGGAAUUCCUGGUGUAGCGGUGGAAUGCGCAGAUAUCAGGAGGAACACCAAUAGCGAAGGCAGCUCGCUGGGACGGUACUGACGCUAAGGCGCGAAAGCGUGGGGAGCGAACAGGAUUAGAUACCCUAGUAGUCC